This 434-nucleotide ribosomal RNA is filed under the name uncultured Lachnospiraceae bacterium. Its description in RNAcentral is "partial 16S ribosomal RNA". It matches the Rfam family "Bacterial small subunit ribosomal RNA", at positions 341 to 792 of the family's 1533-position model. Lineage: Bacteria; Bacillati; Bacillota; Clostridia; Lachnospirales; Lachnospiraceae. The record is from RNAcentral.
ACGGGAGGCAGCAGUGGGGAAUAUUGCACAAUGGGGGAAACCCUGAUGCAGCGACGCCGCGUGAGUGAAGAAGUAUUUCGGUAUGUAAAGCUCUAUCAGCAGGAAAGAAAAUGACGGUACCUGACUAAGAAGCCCCGGCUAACUACGUGCCAGCAGCCGCGGUAAUACGUAGGGGGCAAGCGUUAUCCGGAUUUACUGGGUGUAAAGGGAGCGUAGACGGUAAGGCAAGUCUGAAGUGAAAUGCCAGGGCUCAACCCUGGAACUGCUUUGGAAACUGUCCUACUAGAGUGCAGGAGAGGUAAGUGGAAUUCCUAGUGUAGCGGUGAAAUGCGUAGGUAUUAGGAGGAACACCAGUGGCGAAGGCGGCUUACUGGACUGUAACUGACGUUGAGGCUCGAAAGCGUGGGGAGCAAACAGGAUUAGAUACCCUGGUA